RNAcentral lists this ribosomal RNA (477 nucleotides) under uncultured bacterium. RNAcentral's name for it is "partial 16S ribosomal RNA". It matches the Rfam family "Bacterial small subunit ribosomal RNA", at positions 30 to 507 of the family's 1533-position model. The record is from RNAcentral.
AUUGAACGCUGGCGGCAUGCCUUACACAUGCAAGUCGAACGGUAACAGGUUAAGCUGACGAGUGGCGAACGGGUGAGUAAUGUAUCGGAACGUGCCCAGUCGUGGGGGAUAACUGCUCGAAAGAGCAGCUAAUACCGCAUACGACCUGAGGGUGAAAGCGGGGGAUCGCAAGACCUCGCGCGAUUGGAGCGGCCGAUAUCAGAUUAGGUAGUUGGUGAGGUAAAGGCUCACCAAGCCGACGAUCUGUAGCUGGUCUGAGAGGACGACCAGCCACACUGGGACUGAGACACGGCCCAGACUCCUGCGGGAGGCAGCAGUGGGGAAUUUUGGACAAUGGGCGCAAGCCUGAUCCAGCCAUGCCGCGUGCGGGAAGAAGGCCUUCGGGUUGUAAACCGCUUUUGUCAGGGAAGAAAAGGUUCUGGCUAAUACCUGGGACUCAUGACGGUACCUGAAGAAUAAGCACCGGCUAACUACGUG